GUGUUGGCAAAAUCCAACACCGGGAUUAGUACCCCGCAUUAUUUUUCUAUCGGUACACAAGUACCAGCUUUUUGCUGGUUUUUU
RNAcentral lists this small RNA (84 nucleotides) under Vibrio cholerae. Its description in RNAcentral is "isrK". It matches the Rfam family "isrK Hfq binding RNA". The record is from RNAcentral. Lineage: Bacteria; Pseudomonadati; Pseudomonadota; Gammaproteobacteria; Vibrionales; Vibrionaceae.